Molecule: long non-coding RNA, 1513 nt
Organism: Hordeum vulgare subsp. vulgare (domesticated barley)
Lineage: Eukaryota; Viridiplantae; Streptophyta; Magnoliopsida; Poales; Poaceae
Exons: 5
Source: RefSeq, a predicted model, not a curated record
CUCCUCAACCCCACCGCCGCCGCAGCCGUCGCCGUCGCCGUUGCACCACCUCCCCGGCGAGAGCUCUACAGUGCAGGGGAGUUGAGAUGGUGCCGGCGCCGCCGAAGACUGGGCUCUUCGUGGGGAUAAACAAGGCCGGCGUCACCAAGCGCGAGAUCCCGCCCGCCCGUCCGGGCGCAAAGGUUAUUACAUAUGUUAGAAGUUUCAGUCUAUGGUGGGAGAAUGCAAUUCUGUAAUGAGAUUAUUGAGAAUGACAGCCUAGUAGUAAGAUUCUACAAACUGGUACUUUCUUUUUUCUCAUUUCAGAAAAUUACCAAGAGUGUCCAUUUUGUUCAGAACUUCAUCAGGGAAGUUUAUGGGUGCUGAAUGCUGCUGACGCCGCUGAGGACAGGGCUGUUCGUGGGGAUCAGUAAGGGGCACGUUGUCACCAAGCUCGAGCUCCCGCCCACGCCCGUCCGAUAUGUAAAGGGAAAAUUACCAAGUGGGUCCAUUUUGGUAGGAACUUGAUCAGGGAAGUUGCUCGAUUCGCGCCAUAUGAAAAGCAUGUCACCGAGCUUCUGAAGGUUGGAAAAGAUAAACGUGCACUGACGGUAGCCAAGAAAAAGAUAGGCACACACAAGAGAGCCAAGAAGAAGUGUGAGGAGAUGUCCGUUGUUCUUAGGAAGAUGAGAUGUGCUGAAACCGCCGAGAAGUGAGGCGGGGCGGUUCUUCAAGUAGCAAACUGUGGCAGCCGCAUUCGGUGCACGACCAUGUUUGCGGCGCGGGUCAAAGCCGUGAUUACCGACUUAUCAUGAGGUUUCUGCUGGUUUUGUGCAUUUCGUGGGACCAACCAUAAGCUUUGGUGAAUCGAGGUUUCCGAAACCGUUAUGUGCUCGUUGAUUUGGUGACAUUUGCUGCGUUGUAUGGUUCGUCUGCCCCGACGACUUGCUCUGUUGUGAACUGACAUGUUGCACUGAACUUGCUAUGCAGAUACUAGUACUAGUACCCUGGGUGAUUUACAUGUGUCUCCGGAGCCUGAGUUUGCUGAAAAUGAGGCCACAUCCCAGCCAUGUACACCUGCUGGUGCAACACAACGCAGCGGAGCAGGCACAGGCGCCCACCGGAGAACCCCAUCGCCGGGCACAGCCAUGUCGUUUCCGGCGUUCGUGCGUCGCAGGCGACCCGAUGUUGAUACGGCGGCGCCGGACCGAAAGAUUUCCAGGCUUGACAAAUGAAACUUACGAUGCGUCCAGGCCCAGGCCCAGGCCAUGGUGGAACAACGUGCGCACCCUGAUAUAGACAGUAUAACAACGUGCGCGACGCCGACCGGCCAGCCUACCCUGAUGUGCUUACGUUUUCGGCGCGCGCCGCCAUGGUGGAAGACGGCGCCUCACGUACACCCGGCACGCUGCAACGUAACAUGUCUGGAAACUAUUCCCUUGGUCUGAAAAUACUUUUCUUGAAAGUGAAUUCAUCUAGAUGUAUUUUUAAUAAUUUAUCCAUUUAUUCAUUCAUUCAAUCAUUUAUGCAACAA